This 897-nucleotide ribosomal RNA is filed under the name Triticum aestivum (bread wheat). Its description in RNAcentral is "partial small subunit ribosomal RNA". The record is from RNAcentral. Lineage: Eukaryota; Viridiplantae; Streptophyta; Magnoliopsida; Poales; Poaceae.
AUGAGGUCACCGCCGACGUUGAGCGGCCAGAUCCGCUGGUGCUGGUGGACGUCCGGCGGUCGGCGAGCAACUGCCGACUCAUCUUCCGCAAGUGUAUUUGGUCAUAUCGGCGCUUCAACUCACCAUGUCAGAUCCCCUUGCAAGAGGCCGCUCUCACCAACGAAAUAUGCUGAGUCCACUGGGAAGGUUAACCCAGAGGCACCAGGGCGGACGAGGAGGCUUCGAAUUGGGCGCGCUCCCCUUGAUAGAGUUCCGUGUGCUGGUAGAGUAACUCCAUUGGAAGAAACCAUAAGGAGAUAUGCCGACAAACCUACAGAAAGUGUAGUAAAGCCGCAGAUUGGGAUGAGUUUUGAUUCCCUUGGGGAAGCUUAUGAUUUUUAUAAUCUAUAUUCGUGGGAGCUUGGAUUUGGUAUACGAUAUGGCAAGAGUCGUCUCAAUGUUGAGAGGACUAAAUGUAUGCAAGAGAUUGUUUGUGGAUGCUCGGGGAAACUUGAGCAGCAGAAUAGCAGAUCUUGCCGUUGCGAGUGCCCUGCGAUGGUGAGGUUACUAAGAGCUGCAGACAAUGGAUGGUACAUUGCUGAGCACCGGGCAAGCCACAAUCAUUCGCUAUCUCUUACAUGCGGGGAAAAGGUUCACUGGCCAUCCCACAAACACACAGAUGUGUACACAAAGGAUCUCGUGAAACAGCUUAGGGAAAACAAUCUGAACCUCAACAAGGUGUAUAGCAUAGUUGGGAGCUUCUUCGGAUCAACACAGAGCGUGCCUUUUACAAAAAGGUCAUUGCGCAAUCUGUGCGGGAGAAUAAGCAGAGACCAAGCUGAUGAUGAUGUCAACAAAACCCUUGCCGUCUUCAAAGAGAUUCAGCAGAACGACCCGGAAUUCACAUAUAGGGUCUAG